This 1885-nucleotide long non-coding RNA is filed under the name Zea mays. RNAcentral's name for it is "long non-coding RNA (ZMAY_LNC002320)". The record is from RNAcentral. Lineage: Eukaryota; Viridiplantae; Streptophyta; Magnoliopsida; Poales; Poaceae.
ACGCAAGGAAUACCCCAACAAGAAUAAGACAAGGGGAAAGCGCUCCUGCUUCAAAUGCGGUAAUACAUGUCAUUUUAUUGCUCAAUGUCCCGAUAAUGAAAAUGACCAGGGGGAAGAAAGACAUGGGAAGAAGAAGAAGAAAAUCUAUAGGAAGGCAAAAGGCGAGGCUCAUCUUGGCAAAGAAUGGGACUCAGACUGCUCUUCAUUCGACUCCGACGAUGAAGGACUGGCAGCCUCAGCCUUCAACAAGUCUUCGCUCUUCCCCAACGAACGCCACACCUGCCUCAUGACCAAGGAAAAGAAGGUGAGUGUUCGAGAUUCCCCCAAGUACUCUACUUCUAGUGAUGAUGAAGUAGAUUACACUAGCUUGUUCAAAGGAUUAGAUAGAGCUAAAGUAGAAAAGAUUAAUGAGUUGAUUGAUGCUUUAAAUGAAAAAGAUAGUCUGCUAGAGAGGCAAGAGGAUAUUUUGUAUGAGGAACAUGACAAAUUUGUCAGUGUUCAAAAGUCUCUUGCCUUAGAACUUAAGAGAAAUGAAGUGCUGUCUUCUGAGAUAUCUGCUUGCCAUGAAGCCAUCUUUGGCAAAAAAAAAUCUAGCACUGCUGGAUUGUUGAUGUCGAAGAAUCAGCUCCAGAAAUCAAUUUUCCUAGAGGAUCCUAAAACAUUCCAGUGAAGAGCAACCGAUGUGGGCAUAUGAUAACACAGUAAACAUACAUGCCUUUUAUGAGGAAAAAAUAAUAUAAGUUGGUAUUAAUAUAACUAUGACUAACUACUCAAAACAUUUAAUUAAUAGGUCAUAGAAACCGACUAUCUGAUGUGAAUUGGUUGACAUUACUAGCCUUGUCAUGACACUAUCAAAAUAAAUCAAGGUAGAAUUUUAGUACUUUUCCUAAUUUCGUAUCUACACGGUACAUUAAGCAAAUGAAUAAAAAUAUAAUAACAACAUGAAACAAUUAAUCAACUCCUGAAAUAUUUUCCCUUUGUUUGUGUGAUAUAAAGGAUAAGCUCUUUUUGCACAGUGCAGACUGCAGAACCACCUACAAAGUACAACGCCUCAGGUUCCAAGCGCGCUUUAGCAAAACCACUCUAAAGCGAUUGCGAUGGCUCACUUCUAGCUCCUUGGACAUUUUGAAGUUGGCAAGACAGCUAAAAGGUUGGAAUCAUGUAACAGAACAAGACCCACUGGAAUAGCCCAAUCAGCAGCCUGCCAUUGCAUACCUGAUUCGAUCAAAGUUCCCCUCUGUUGUCAAAUCCCCACCCCGGGGAAAACGCAUCACACAGACGAGUACACAUCAUUUCGCAAAAGAUACAUGUGUCGCGAGCAAGUAGCAACGAGCCGGAAUUUUCACAUCUCAAACCCCCUCCGCCUGACCGUAGAGCGCAACUAGCAAGCACGGAUCGCCGAAAACCCUCAUCGCAUCACCCCAUGAACCAACGGUACCAAGCAACGGCUAGGAUAGGAUGGACGAACCUGAGGCCCCAGGGUGAGGGCUCCCAUCCUUGAUCCAAGCACCCUAGCAGUUCCCCAUUCGCGAGUGUGCUCGGUGCUCACGCCGCUGCACAGCCGGAGCGAAGCGCGGCAGCGAGGGCGGGGCUCGACCAGCAAUCGGAUCAAACGAGCCACGUCGCUGGCACCGCGGAGGCGCCCCGCGAUCCUCCCGGGGCUAGGGUUUUGCGGCGCGGGCUACGAACCGGUGGGCGGAUGGACGGAAAACAACAUGAGUGAGUAGAGGGAGGUGGCGUGGUGGAGCGCGUGACUGCGUGAGGCUGCCGCUUUGGAGAGGGAGUGAGCCGAGCGAGCGAGAGGAGCGAGGGAGAGGCGGUUAAUGGCGGGCAAGGGUGGCGGCCGGUUAGGGUUAGGGGAGUGCGGCUGGGCCUUAAUGGGCCG